RNAcentral lists this ribosomal RNA (362 nucleotides) under uncultured bacterium. RNAcentral's name for it is "bacterial SSU rRNA". It matches the Rfam family "Bacterial small subunit ribosomal RNA", at positions 434 to 793 of the family's 1533-position model. The record is from RNAcentral.
AGGAAGGUAGUGUACGUUAACACCUGCAUUAUUUGACGUUUACCUACAGAAGUAAGCUACCGGCUAACUCCGUGCCAGUCAGCCGCGGUAAUACGGAGGGUGCGAGCGUUAAUCGGAAUUACUGGGCGUAAAGCGUCAUGCAGGCGGCCUGUUAAGUCAGAUGUGAAAGCCCGGGGCUUAACCUCGGAAUUGCAUUUGAAACUGGCAGGCUAGAGUCUUGUAGAGGGGGUAGAAUUUCAGGUGUAGCGUGAAAUGCGUAGAGAUCUGAAGGAAUACCAGUGGCGAAGGCGGCCCCCUGGACAAAGACUGACGCUCAGAUGCGAAAGCGUGGGGAGCAAACCAGGAUUAGAUACCCCUGGUAG